CAUCUUCCCUGUCUUGUUCCUGAGCGCAGAGGGCUCCUCCGGCCCCGCCGAGCUGCGCCCGCUGCCUUCACACCCCGGACAUCCGCGCCACACGUGACACCUGCGGAGACAGCCCCGGUAAGUCUCCCGUUCCCGCCCCCUCCCGCCCCAGGGACCCAGACCCCAGGAGGCCUCACCCCACAGCAAGAGAAAGACCACGAGCAUGGACAUGAUGGUCGCGCUCACUCCGGUGCAGUGAGUGUCUGGGUGUUGGAUCCUGGAUCCUGUUCUAGAAGGAGACGCUGAGUUCUCCCCACUCUACCUGGAGCUGCUGAGGUCAAGUGGAGAGUGCCGGGGCUGAAGCCCAGCGAGCCCCUCCCUGUCACACCACACUGCACAUGUGACACCAAAGGUGGCGUUCACCUCUUUUCAGACUUUCUGCGGUUGCCCUCACAUGGGCUGUCUGGAGGUGCACCCUCACUCUUCCUGAGGACUGUGGUUCCUUCUCCAUCACUGGUUCAUUCUGCAUGGUGUGACCCACCACGGCUCUGGAGUCGGAUUUCCACCCAGGUCAUUCAGCUGAGACCUGCGCUUCCCAGGCCUACCCGUGACAUGUGCUCAGUUACCUGAGCUGCUGGUGGUCACUCAUGUGGCUAUAGCCUGCUGCCUGGAGGCCAGGCCUCCUGCUUCCCCCUCUCCUCACCACAGCCUGUUGGGAUGGAACAGGACAGGGGGUGAGACCGUGGUGCUUUCACACUCAGCCUCCAUGGACAUCCUGUCAUUCCCACCCGGGGAGGUCUGGUCCCCACCCUGGGUGUCCCAGCCUAGCUCCGCUACGAGUGUGAGGGCCCAGGGCAACCGCCUAGCCCUCAUCUGCCCCCUGCACUGCAUCCUCCCCACUCAUUCAUUCCACCGGCAUUUAUUGAGCAUCUACUGUGUGCCAGAUGCAAAGAAGACAGUGGGAUAACUGGG
Molecule: non-coding RNA, 951 nt
Filed under: Pan troglodytes (chimpanzee)
Lineage: Eukaryota; Metazoa; Chordata; Mammalia; Primates; Hominidae
Source: RNAcentral